GUGAAUCAUCGAUUUUUUGAACGCAAAUUGCACUCUCUGGUAUUCCGGAGAGUAUGCCUGUUUGAGGGUCAGUUUAAAUAAAAAUCGGUGUGGUUGCUGCCUUUCGCGGUGACGCACCGGAUUUUGGUCAUCUUGUCUUCGGUUAAGGGACCUAAAUUUUUGCAUGAUUUUUUUCGAACGUAUUUAAAUGUUUUUACGUACGUUUGCAAUUUCGAAUCCUAGGUGUGGUCAUCCUCACG
This 239-nucleotide unclassified non-coding RNA is filed under the name Glomeraceae sp. RNAcentral's name for it is "partial contains 5.8S ribosomal RNA and internal transcribed spacer 2". The stretch from base 1 to 71 matches the Rfam family "5.8S ribosomal RNA", at positions 84 to 154 of the family's 154-position model. The record is from RNAcentral. Lineage: Eukaryota; Fungi; Glomeromycota; Glomeromycetes; Glomerales; Glomeraceae.